GAUGGAAUGAAAAGGGGUGAUGUGGGGGCGAAGGAACAGAAGGGGGGGCGAUAUGGGGGCAAUGGAGCAAGAAAUAAUAGGGGAGAGAGAGAGA
Notechis scutatus (mainland tiger snake) is the source of this 94-nucleotide non-coding RNA. NCBI's taxonomy places the organism in Eukaryota, Metazoa, Chordata, Lepidosauria, Squamata, Elapidae. The record is from RefSeq and is a predicted model, not a curated record.